GUCGAACCCCGCCCAGACUUGCAUAGCUUCCCCUAGUCCCGCCUAAUCCCGCCUAAAAUGCUUUCCGAUUUUGUGGCCGCUUAGAAGUUAAUCGCGGCGGUCGGCCACCGUCCAGCUCCUAGGCCCGGACCAUGUUGAGCCCACCCAAAUAACCCGACGGGCCCCCGUCUCGAUUCGCUCUCGUGCUGGUCAAGUGUAAAACUGUAAAAACUCCAUGGAAGAGCUUCUGCGCGCCUUUUCAUCCUUUUGAGACAUUAUACUUAUCAAAAGAGCAGAGCAAUAUGGUUGCCACUUGCAAGUCUACACUCCCAAAACGCAGCGUUCUUCUCAUCUCUCUCCUUAAUCCUCACACUGGAUGACUGCAAAGGUUGGUACUGCAUCCACAGUCGAACCUCGCACUGCUGAGAUGUCUGGUACAACGAUGACACCUGCAUCAUCAGCUGGUACACAAAAGGUCUCCAUGUUUGCUGCCAAGGCUGGAUUUGUUAUACCAAAAAACAAGCUGUUGGGUUCACUUGUGCCUGUCUUUCGCGGAAGUAAAAACC
Molecule: small RNA, 545 nt
Filed under: Malus domestica (apple)
Lineage: Eukaryota; Viridiplantae; Streptophyta; Magnoliopsida; Rosales; Rosaceae
Description: sRNA MD03G0008600
Source: RNAcentral